GAUGAACGCUGGCGGCGUGCCUAAUACAUGCAAGUCGAGCGAACGGACGAGAAGCUUGCUUCUCUGAUGUUAGCGGCGGACGGGUGAGUAACACGUGGAUAACCUACCUAUAAGACUGGGAUAACUUCGGGAAACCGGAGCUAAUACCGGAUAAUAUUUUGAACCGCAUGGUUCAAAAGUGAAAGACGGUCUUGCUGUCACUUAUAGAUGGAUCCGCGCUGCAUUAGCUAGUUGGUAAGGUAACGGCUUACCAAGGCAACGAUGCAUAGCCGACCUGAGAGGGUGAUCGGCCACACUGGAACUGAGACACGGUCCAGACUCCUACGGGAGGCAGCAGUAGGGAAUCUUCCGCAAUGGGCGAAAGCCUGACGGAGCAACGCCGCGUGAGUGAUGAAGGUCUUCGGAUCGUAAAACUCUGUUAUUAGGGAAGAACAUAUGUGUAAGUAAUUGUGCACAUCUUGACGGUACCUAAUCAGAAAGCCACGGCUAACUACGUG
This 497-nucleotide ribosomal RNA is filed under the name uncultured bacterium. RNAcentral describes it as "partial 16S ribosomal RNA". It matches the Rfam family "Bacterial small subunit ribosomal RNA", at positions 28 to 507 of the family's 1533-position model. The record is from RNAcentral.